This 2633-nucleotide long non-coding RNA is filed under the name Homo sapiens (human). RNAcentral describes it as "novel transcript". The record is from RNAcentral. Lineage: Eukaryota; Metazoa; Chordata; Mammalia; Primates; Hominidae.
GGGCGUUGGAGAGGCCGCCCUUUUUGCAAGGCCCGAGACGGCGGGACCUGCACAAGCCGCCCUAUUCCAUGCCCUCAGGGCGUCAGUAUCCGCCUCAGGCCAGAUAACCCCUCUGGGCCCCGGGUGCCCCCGCUGGGCCCGGAGCAUCCUCGGCGCUGCCCUCCCAGAGCCCCGCAGAGGCUGAGGUGGCACGGGUUGGAGGGCCUGGCUCUGCGAGAAGCGGCGGCAGCGAGGGCUGGAGGACCCGGGCUACGUGGCUCUGGGGCGUCUGGCCUGGGUGGGACUGAGCCCAUCCAGGGACUGGGACUCCGGGGUUCUGGUGUAGGUGGAUCCGGGGCAGGCUCAGGACCAAGUCCCUCUCCUUCCACCAAGGAGCACCCAGAGGCCGGCGGGAGCUCCAGGUUCACCUCCUCUUCCUCCAGGAAAUCCCACUUCCAACUGGAUGUCUGGAUGAACUACUGAAAGCUGCUGAGUGUCCUGCAGCAGGACAUUUUCAAUCCAGAGGAAGACCUUCUAAAAGAGGUGAUGGGUGGGAGAGUGCUGACAUACUAUGUGAAGCUACUAUUUGGAGUUGGACAGUAGUGCAUGUGACUUUGUGUCACAGCGGGAAUCUUGACUACCACACAAAUGAAUCCAUUCAAAUGUUGGCAAGUGGAGCAGAGUCCCAGGACAGGUACAGAAACACCCCCAGUUCAAGGAUCUUCACACCUGGAUUUAGGCCUACACCUGCAACUACCCCAGGCCAGUUAUCCAGGCAGUGACUUUCUGUACAGCUACAGUCACCUCUGGACACCUGCGGAGACUUUAAAAAUUUCCAGAAGGUCAGGAAUUUGUGGAGACCUUUCUCAUGGCUACGUUGCUUGCAAAGGUGAAUCAAUAAGCUUCUGAACUGACUUAGAAAAUGUUGCAGUCUCUUGUGAACAGAUAGACCCUCUCCUGCCACUCCAGAUACACAUAUCUGGGUCACACACACACCUGAUUUAACAACAUCUCAUUAUCUCAGUCUCACUCUGUCACCCAGGCUAGAGUGCAAUGGCAUGAUCUCGGCUCACUGCAACCUCCGCCUCCAGGGUUCAAGAGAUUGUCCUGCCUCAGCCUCCCGAGUAGCUGGAACUACAGGCACGUGCCACCACACCCUGCUAAUUUUUUUGUAUUGGUAGAGACAGGGUUUCACCGUGUUAGCCACUGACCUCGUGAUCCCAAAGUGCUGGGAUUACAGUGCCUCGGCCUCCCAAAGUGCUGGGAUUACAGGCGUGAGCCACCGCGCCCGGCCCCACUAAUGGUUUUUUCAAGACCUAUCUUGGGUGCUCCUAGGUAAGAUCAGAUGGAGAGCAGGAGAACUACCUGAGACACUUUUGAGGGACAGGCAUGUAGGAACUGCUGCAAUUUGAGGUCAGAGCAAGGUAAAGGUCUCACUGUGAGAAUCGCGGUAAACCCUCUGUUACUGGGGAGUGGGUUGGGGAGCUGAGAGAAACCCCCUUCACUCUCUGUUCUCACAGGUGCAUAAGAAGAGAGGCCUGAUGAGGUCUGAAGGCAGGGGAGGGCAGGUAGCUGAGAGAAGUAGAUUCUCUGGUCUUUCACUGAGUGUGAGGCAGCUACUGCCCGAGGUUGGGCAAGGGAUGGAAGCCCUGAGAGAUUCUUGAGGUGCAGAGAUAGAGGCUUGCUGAGGAUGAAAGUGGACAGGAAAGCUAAGAGAGGCUCCAAUGCUGACCAUGGCACUCUGCAAGAAGAUAAAAAUCUGUAUGUAGAGGUUUAUGAGGGAAAAUCUUGAGUUCAGUUUUGGAUAUAUGUUACUUUUGAAAUCAAGUGUCCAAGUAGAUACACCAUUAUGCAGUUGGGUAAUUUAUUAUAAGCCUGGAGUUCAAAAGGAGGUCCAAAAGGAGAAUUGAAAGGGAUGAGACUUGCUGAGCCCCUCCAAAGAGUGUGUGGUGAGGGAGAAGAGAAGAGGACCAGGAACUGAGCUCUCGAGCUCUCCUAUAGGAGGUGUGAUGCAAAAGAUGAGGAAGAAACAAAGGAAGCCGAAGUGGUAGCUCCAGUGAGACAGGCUGAGAAUCAAGUGAAUGUGCCGUCCUGGAAGCCAACUGAAGAAAGUAUACUGUGAAGAAGGUAGUGAUUAUCUGUGUCAAAUGCUGCUAAUAGGCCAAUUAAAGUUGUAGUGGAAAAUGAUCAUUGGAUCUAGCAAUAUAGGGAUUAUUCGUAACUUUGACAAAAGUGGUGUCAAUAGCAUGAUCGAAAAAGGGGGAGAGAGCCUGAUUGGGAUAUAUUUAAGAAACAAUGAGAAGAGAGGAAUUGAAGACACAGAGUAUGGACAACUAUUUUAAGAUGUUUUGCUGAAAAGUAGAGCAAAAAUUGGGAUGACAGCUGGCAUCAGAAGAAAUGCAAGGACAUUCUUUUUCUUAAAUCAGAAAAACAACAGCAUAUUUGUUUGCUGGUGGUAAUAAUUUACUAGCAUCAAAAUUGAUGACACAGUCAUGAUAUAGUGAACUGCAACAGGAAAAUCCCCAAGUACACAGCGAAGAGGGAAUAUAAUACACAAAUUUAAAAACUAUUUGGAUCUCUGAAACAUCUGUUUUGAUAUUAGCCUUUCAUUCCUGCAAUAGUUAUUUUAAGCAUGUUCUCAUUUUCUCUUGUUC